Molecule: ribosomal RNA, 497 nt
Filed under: uncultured bacterium
Lineage: Bacteria
Description: partial 16S ribosomal RNA
Rfam family: Bacterial small subunit ribosomal RNA
Source: RNAcentral
GAUGAACGCUGGCGGCGUGCCUAAUACAUGCAAGUCGAGCGAACGGACGAGAAGCUUGCUUCUCUGAUGUUAGCGGCGGACGGGAGAGUAACACGUGGAUAACCUACCUAUCAGACUGGGAUAACUUCGGGAAACCGGAGCUAAUACCGUAUGAUAUUUUGAACCGCAUGGUUCAAUAGUGAAAGACGGUCUUUCUGUCACUUAUCGAUGGAUCCGCGCUGCAUUAGCUAGUUGGUAAGGUAACGGCUUACCAAGGCAACGAUGCAUAACCGACCUGAGAGAGUGAUCGGCCACAUGGGAGCGGAGCCGGGGUCAAGACGCCUAAGGGAGGCAGCAGUAGGGAAUCUUACGCAAUGGGCGAAAGCCUGACGGAGCAAGGCCGCGUGAGUGAUGAAGGUCUUGGGAUCGUAAAACUCUGUUAUGAGGGAAGAACAUAUGUGUAAGGAACUGUGCACAUAUUGACGGUAACUAAUCAGAAAGCCACGGCUAACUACGUG